This is a small nuclear RNA of Otolemur garnettii (small-eared galago), 107 nucleotides long. Lineage: Eukaryota; Metazoa; Chordata; Mammalia; Primates; Galagidae. The record is from Ensembl.
GUGCUUGCCUCGGCAGUAUAUAUACUAAAAUUGGAACAAUACAGAGCAGAUUAGCAUGGCCCCUGUGCAAGGAUGACAUGCAAAUUCAUGAAGUGUUCCAUAAUUUA